UGUGGUUAUUAUAGCAAAGAGGAUACACCUGUUCCCAUUCCGAACACAGAAGUUAAGCUCUUUAGCGCCGAUGGUACUUGGUGGGAAGCUACCUGGGAGAGUAGGACGUAGCCGCGU
RNAcentral lists this ribosomal RNA (117 nucleotides) under Paraclostridium sordellii. Lineage: Bacteria; Bacillati; Bacillota; Clostridia; Peptostreptococcales; Peptostreptococcaceae. The record is from RNAcentral. RNAcentral also lists the same sequence under 1 other name.